Molecule: ribosomal RNA, 729 nt
Filed under: uncultured crenarchaeote
Lineage: Archaea; Thermoproteati; Thermoproteota
Description: bacterial SSU rRNA
Rfam family: Archaeal small subunit ribosomal RNA
Source: RNAcentral
AAUCGUUGGAUCGCGGGGGAUACUGCUUGGCUAGGGGACGAGAGAGGCAGACGGUAUUUUCGGGGUAGGGGUGAAAUCCUAUAAUCCCGGGAAGACCACCAGUGGCGAAGGCUGUCUGCUAGAACGCGCCCGACGGUGAGGGAUGAAAGCUGGGGGAGCGAACCGGAUUAGAUACCCGGGUAGUCCCAGCUGUAAACGAUGCAGGCUAGGUGUUUGGACGGCCACGUGCCGUUCUAGUGCCGCAGGGAAGCUGUUAAGCCUGCCGCCUGGGGAGUACGAUCGCAAGAUUGAAACUUAAAGGAAUUGGCGGGGGAGCACCACAAGGGGUGAAGCUUGCGGUUUAAUUGGAGUCAACGCCGGAAAUCUCACCGGGAGCGACAGCAGUGUGAAGGCCAGAUUAAAGGUCUUGCCAGACGAGCUGAGAGGAGGUGCAUGGCCGUCGCCAGUUCGUGCCGUGAGGUGUCCUGUUAAGUCAGGCAACGAUCGAGACCCGCGUCCUCUGUUGCUACUAGCCUUGUGCUGGGCACACUGAGGAGACCGCCACUGAUAAAGUGGAGGAAGGAGCGGGCCACGGCAGGUCAGUAUGCCCCGAAUCUCCCGGGCCACACGCGAGCUGCAAUGGCAGGUACAAUGGGUUCCGACCUCGAAAGGGGGAGGCAAUCUCGAAAGCCUGCCGUAGUUGGGAUCGAAGGCUGAAACCCGCCUUCGUGAACAUGGAAUCCCUAGUAA